UGGUGAUUCGUUCAGUUGGAUUAAGAUAUUCUAUGUAAAUGGUCUGACAAUUGAGGCUGAUGGAGGAAUCAUUGAUGGCAACGGUUCCACUUGGUGGAAGAAAUGCAGAACAUGCAGAAGGCCAACAUCCUUACGUUUCCAUUCUUGUAAUGGUCUUACUGUUAAAUCUCUAAGUAUGAGUAACAGCCCUGGAGCUCACAUAUCAGUAAAUGGCUGCAAUGGAGCAUUAUUCUCU
Molecule: small RNA, 235 nt
Filed under: Vigna angularis var. angularis
Lineage: Eukaryota; Viridiplantae; Streptophyta; Magnoliopsida; Fabales; Fabaceae
Description: Non-protein coding transcript
Source: RNAcentral